RNAcentral lists this ribosomal RNA (253 nucleotides) under uncultured bacterium. RNAcentral's name for it is "partial 16S ribosomal RNA". It matches the Rfam family "Bacterial small subunit ribosomal RNA", at positions 524 to 776 of the family's 1533-position model. The record is from RNAcentral.
UACGUAGGCAGCAAGCGUUGUUCGGAGUUACUGGGCGUAAAGAGUGCGUAGGCGGUGCUCUAAGUUUGGUGUGAAAUCUCCCGGCUCAACUGGGAGGGUGCGCCGAAUACUGAGAGGCUAGAGUGCGGGAGAGGAAAGUGGAAUUCCUGGUGUAGCGGUGAAAUGCGUAGAUAUCAGGAGGAACACCGGUGGUGUAAACGGCUUUCUGGACCGUAACUGACGCUGAGGCACGAAAGCGUGGGUAGCAAACAGG